AUACGGAGGGGACAAGCGUUGUUCGGAAUCAUUGGGCGUAAAGCGGGUGUAGGCGGCUUGGCAAGUCGGGUGUGAAAUCCCUGGGCCCAACCCAGGAACUGCACUCGAAACUGCCUCGCUAGAGUCCCGGAGAGGGUGGCGGAAUUCCCGGUGUAGAGGUGAAAUUCGUAGAUAUCGGGAGGAACACCAGUGGCGAAGGCGGCCACCUGGACGGUGACUGACGCUCAGACCCGAAAGCGUGGGGAGCAAACAGGAUUAGAAACCCCGGUAGUCC
RNAcentral lists this ribosomal RNA (274 nucleotides) under uncultured bacterium. RNAcentral describes it as "partial 16S ribosomal RNA". It matches the Rfam family "Bacterial small subunit ribosomal RNA", at positions 523 to 796 of the family's 1533-position model. The record is from RNAcentral.